Long non-coding RNA from Xenia sp. Carnegie-2017, 521 nucleotides. RefSeq lists it as uncharacterized. The transcript has 4 exons. NCBI's taxonomy places the organism in Eukaryota, Metazoa, Cnidaria, Anthozoa, Malacalcyonacea, Xeniidae. The record is from RefSeq and is a predicted model, not a curated record.
CUUUUUAUCUUCAGUUUUUCGCAUGGAACUUAGAAAUUUAUAGGAUUAAAAUGAUUAAAUUUUAAUAUACCUCAUUCCCCUCUCCUAGAAGAACGCAUUUUCAUGGACAAAUAUCAUCGUUAUCUCAAAUAUAACCUUUGGAGAAUUGUUUAAAAUCGAUUCUACUAUACAACAUCGAUGUAGAAAAUGAAAAAACCACACAGCAGGUUAUCAAGUUUUGUUUCGCUGUUUGUUCGUUCCUCAUUUCUCUGACGAUUGUGCUGGUACCAUCAUCACGAUCUAAUUCAAAUUGCGUGGUCCUUGCACUAGUUUCCAGGACUUCUGAGUGAGGAUAAAAUCCAACUCAAAGAACUUUGCUAAGCAGCUCUGCCUCACACAGAAUAUUGAUUUCAUAGUUUUGUUUGACAUUUUUAACUACAGACUUUAACAUAGAAAUUUAUUUUGCCAAAUUUUAUUUAUCUUUAACAUAUAACAACGUUCAAUGGCUAAACAAAACACAAAAUAUCAUGAAUAAACUUCAA